Molecule: long non-coding RNA, 313 nt
Organism: Erinaceus europaeus (western European hedgehog)
Lineage: Eukaryota; Metazoa; Chordata; Mammalia; Eulipotyphla; Erinaceidae
Exons: 2
Source: RefSeq, a predicted model, not a curated record
UCCUGCCCUGUUUGAUCCUCGGUCUCUAUGCCAAGGAGUCAGCUCUGCUUUGGUCACCGUGUGUGAAGGGACCGCGGGAAGGAAGAGGCCCUGUCCCCCCAAACACAGAGAUGCAGAAAUCGAGAGUACAAGAGACCACAGAACUGAAGCUUCCUUUAAGAGGACUGGUCCAAAACUGGGUUGUGGCCUUGGCAAAGCAGAUCACCACCCAAGUGAGCUAUUCCUCAGUUCACUCAUCUUCCCAUUUGCUUAAUCUUGUUCUGGAUCCACUUGCCCUUGGAACAGAACCUCCAAAUACAUCUUUGAUGUUCUG